This 492-nucleotide ribosomal RNA is filed under the name uncultured bacterium. RNAcentral's name for it is "partial 16S ribosomal RNA". It matches the Rfam family "Bacterial small subunit ribosomal RNA", at positions 29 to 507 of the family's 1533-position model. The record is from RNAcentral.
AGUGAACGCUGGCGGUAGGCCUAACACAUGCAAGUCGAACGGCAGCACAGUAAGAGCUUGCUCUUACGGGUGGCGAGUGGCGGACGGGUGAGGAAUACAUCGGAAUCUACUUUUUCGUGGGGGAUAACGUAGGGAAACUUACGCUAAUACCGCAUACGACCUACGGGUGAAAGCAGGGGAUCUUCGGACCUUGCGCGAUUGAAUGAGCCGAUGUCGGAUUAGCUAGUUGGCGGGGUAAGGGCCCACCAAGGCGACGAUCCGUAGCUGGUCUGAGAGGAUGAUCAGCCACACUGGAACUGAGACACGGUCCAGACUCCUACGGGGGGCAGCAGUGGGGAAUAUUGGACAAUGGGCGCAAGCCUGAUCCAGCCAUACCGCGUGGGUGAAGAAGGCCUUCGGGUUGUAAAGCCCUUUUGUUGGGAAAGAAAAGCAGCAGGUUAAUACCCCGCUGUUCUGACGGUACCCAAAGAAUAAGCACCGGCUAACUUCGUG